CCUACGGGUGGCUGCAGUGAGGAAUAUUGGUCAAUGGGCGUAAGCCUGAACCAGCCAAGUCGCGUGAGGGAUGAAGGUUCUAUGGAUUGUAAACCUCUUUUAUAAUGGAAUAAAGUGUGGGACGUGUCCUGUUUUGUAUGUACCUUAUGAAUAAGGAUCGGCUAACUCCGUGCCAGCAGCCGCGGUAAUACGGAGGAUCCGAGCGUUAUCCGGAUUUAUUGGGUUUAAAGGGUGCGUAGGCGGCAUGUUAAGUCAGCGGUGAAAGUCUGGGGCUCAACCGUAGAAUUGCCGUUGAAACUGGCAGGCUGGAGUACGGUAGAGGCAGGCGGAAUGCGUGGUGUAGCGGUGAAAUGCUUAGAUAUCACGAAGAACCCCGAUUGCGAAGGCAGCCUGCUGGACCAUAACUGACGCUGAGGCACGAAAGUGUGGGGAUCAAACAGGAUUAGAUACCCCGGUAGUC
Molecule: ribosomal RNA, 460 nt
Filed under: uncultured bacterium
Lineage: Bacteria
Description: partial 16S ribosomal RNA
Rfam family: Bacterial small subunit ribosomal RNA
Source: RNAcentral